GAUGAACGCUGGCGGCGUGCUUAACACAUGCAAGUCGAACGGAAAGGCUCCUGCUUGCAGGGGUACUCGAGUGGCGAACGGGUGAGUAACACGUGGGUGAUCUGCCCUGCACUUCGGGAUAAGCCUGGGAAACUGGGUCUAAUACCGGAUAGGACCACAUUUUGGAUGGUGUGGUGGAAAGUUUUUCGGUGUGGGAUGAGCUCGCGGCCUAUCAGCUUGUUGGUGGGGUAAUGGCCUACCAAGGCGUCGACGGGUAGCCGGCCUGAGAGGGUGUACGGCCACAUUGGGACUGAGAUACGGCCCAGACUCCUACGGGAGGCAGCAGUGGGGAAUAUUGCACAAUGGGCGCAAGCCUGAUGCAGCGACGCCGCGUGGGGGAUGACGGCCUUCGGGUUGUGAACUCCUUUCGCUAGGGACGAAGCGUUUUUGUGACGGUACCUGGAGAAGAAGCACCGGCUAACUACGUG
RNAcentral lists this ribosomal RNA (467 nucleotides) under uncultured bacterium. RNAcentral's name for it is "partial 16S ribosomal RNA". It matches the Rfam family "Bacterial small subunit ribosomal RNA", at positions 28 to 507 of the family's 1533-position model. The record is from RNAcentral.